GGUUAAGCGACUAAGCGUACACGGUGGAUGCCCUGGCAGUCAGAGGCGAUGAAGGACGUGCUAAUCUGCGAUAAGCGUCGGUAAGGUGAUAUGAACCGUUAUAACCGGCGAUUUCCGAAUGGGGAAACCCAGUGUGUUUCGACACACUAUCAUUAACUGAAUCCAUAGGUUAAUGAGGCGAACCGGGGGAACUGAAACAUCUAAGUACCCCGAGGAAAAGAAAUCAACCGAGAUUCCCCCAGUAGCGGCGAGCGAACGGGGAGCAGCCCAGAGCCUGAAUCAGUGUGUGUGUUAGUGGAAGCGUCUGGAAAGGCGCGCGAUACAGGGUGACAGCCCCGUACACAAAAAUGCACAUGCUGUGAGCUCGAUGAGUAGGGCGGGACACGUGGUAUCCUGUCUGAAUAUGGGGGGACCAUCCUCCAAGGCUAAAUACUCCUGACUGACCGAUAGUGAACCAGUACCGUGAGGGAAAGGCGAAAAGAACCCCGGCGAGGGGAGUGAAAAAGAACCUGAAACCGUGUACGUACAAGCAGUGGGAGCACGCUUAGGCGUGUGACUGCGUACCUUUUGUAUAAUGGGUCAGCGACUUAUAUUCUGUAGCAAGGUUAACCGAAUAGGGGAGCCGAAGGGAAACCGAGUCUUAACUGGGCGUUAAGUUGCAGGGUAUAGACCCGAAACCCGGUGAUCUAGCCAUGGGCAGGUUGAAGGUUGGGUAACACUAACUGGAGGACCGAACCGACUAAUGUUGAAAAAUUAGCGGAUGACUUGUGGCUGGGGGUGAAAGGCCAAUCAAACCGGGAGAUAGCUGGUUCUCCCCGAAAGCUAUUUAGGUAGCGCCUCGUGAAUUCAUCUCCGGGGGUAGAGCACUGUUUCGGCAAGGGGGUCAUCCCGACUUACCAACCCGAUGCAAACUGCGAAUACCGGAGAAUGUUAUCACGGGAGACACACGGCGGGUGCUAACGUCCGUCGUGAAGAGGGAAACAACCCAGACCGCCAGCUAAGGUCCCAAAGUCAUGGUUAAGUGGGAAACGAUGUGGGAAGGCCCAGACAGCCAGGAUGUUGGCUUAGAAGCAGCCAUCAUUUAAAGAAAGCGUAAUAGCUCACUGGUCGAGUCGGCCUGCGCGGAAGAUGUAACGGGGCUAAACCAUGCACCGAAGCUGCGGCAGCGNNNNNNNNNNNNGUUGGGUAGGGGAGCGUUCUGUAAGCCUGUGAAGGUGUGCUGUGAGGCAUGCUGGAGGUAUCAGAAGUGCGAAUGCUGACAUAAGUAACGAUAAAGCGGGUGAAAAGCCCGCUCGCCGGAAGACCAAGGGUUCCUGUCCAACGUUAAUCGGGGCAGGGUGAGUCGACCCCUAAGGCGAGGCCGAAAGGCGUAGUCGAUGGGAAACAGGUUAAUAUUCCUGUACUUGGUGUUACUGCGAAGGGGGGACGGAGAAGGCUAUGUUGGCCGGGCGACGGUUGUCCCGGUUUAAGCGUGUAGGCUGGUUUUCCAGGCAAAUCCGGAAAAUCAAGGCUGAGGCGUGAUGACGAGGCACUACGGUGCUGAAGCAACAAAUGCCCUGCUUCCAGGAAAAGCCUCUAAGCAUCAGGUAACAUCAAAUCGUACCCCAAACCGACACAGGUGGUCAGGUAGAGAAUACCAAGGCGCUUGAGAGAACUCGGGUGAAGGAACUAGGCAAAAUGGUGCCGUAACUUCGGGAGAAGGCACGCUGAUAUGUAGGUGAGGUCCCUCGCGGAUGGAGCUGAAAUCAGUCGAAGAUACCAGCUGGCUGCAACUGUUUAUUAAAAACACAGCACUGUGCAAACACGAAAGUGGACGUAUACGGUGUGACGCCUGCCCGGUGCCGGAAGGUUAAUUGAUGGGGUUAGCGNNNNNNNNNNNNUUGAUCGAAGCCCCGGUAAACGGCGGCCGUAACUAUAACGGUCCUAAGGUAGCGAAAUUCCUUGUCGGGUAAGUUCCGACCUGCACGAAUGGCGUAAUGAUGGCCAGGCUGUCUCCACCCGAGACUCAGUGAAAUUGAACUCGCUGUGAAGAUGCAGUGUACCCGCGGCAAGACGGAAAGACCCCGUGAACCUUUACUAUAGCUUGACACUGAACAUUGAGCCUUGAUGUGUAGGAUAGGUGGGAGGCUUAGAAGUGUGGACGCCAGUCUGCAUGGAGCCGACCUUGAAAUACCACCCUUUAAUGUUUGAUGUUCUAACGUUGACCCGUAAUCCGGGUUGCGGACAGUGUCUGGUGGGUAGUUUGACUGGGGCGGUCUCCUCCUAAAGAGUAACGGAGGAGCACGAAGGUUGGCUAAUCCUGGUCGGACAUCAGGAGGUUAGUGCAAUGGCAUAAGCCAGCUUGACUGCGAGCGUGACGGCGCGAGCAGGUGCGAAAGCAGGUCAUAGUGAUCCGGUGGUUCUGAAUGGAAGGGCCAUCGCUCAACGGAUAAAAGGUACUCCGGGGAUAACAGGCUGAUACCGCCCAAGAGUUCAUAUCGACGGCGGUGUUUGGCACCUCGAUGUCGGCUCAUCACAUCCUGGGGCUGAAGUAGGUCCCAAGGGUAUGGCUGUUCGCCAUUUAAAGUGGUACGCGAGCUGGGUUUAGAACGUCGUGAGACAGUUCGGUCCCUAUCUGCCGUGGGCGCUGGAGAACUGAGGGGGGCUGCUCCUAGUACGAGAGGACCGGAGUGGACGCAUCACUGGUGUUCGGGUUGUCAUGCCAAUGGCACUGCCCGGUAGCUAAAUGCGGAAGAGAUAAGUGCUGAAAGCANNNNNNNNNNNNNNNNNNNNNNNNNNNNNNNNNNNNNNNNNNUUUAAGGGUCCUGAAGGAACGUUGAAGACGACGACGUUGAUAGGCCGGGUGUGUAAGCGCAGCGAUGCGUUGAGCUAACCGGUACUAAUGAACCGUGAGGCUUAACCUU
This 2903-nucleotide ribosomal RNA is filed under the name Escherichia coli. RNAcentral's name for it is "23S ribosomal RNA". It matches the Rfam family "Bacterial large subunit ribosomal RNA". The record is from RNAcentral. Lineage: Bacteria; Pseudomonadati; Pseudomonadota; Gammaproteobacteria; Enterobacterales; Enterobacteriaceae.